GUGGGGAAUAUUGGACAAUGGGGGGAACCCUGAUCCAGCCAUGCCGCGUGUGUGAAGAAGGCCUUUUGGUUGUAAAGCACUUUAAGCGAGGAGGAGGCUACCGAGAUUAAUACUCUUGGAUAGUGGACGUUACUCGCAGAAUAAGCACCGGCUAACUCUGUGCCAGCAGCCGCGGUAAUACAGAGGGUGCAAGCGUUAAUCGGAUUUACUGGGCGUAAAGCGCGCGUAGGUGGCCAAUUAAGUCAAAUGUGAAAUCCCCGAGCUUAACUUGGGAAUUGCAUUCGAUACUGGUUGGCUAGAGUAUGGGAGAGGAUGGUAGAAUUCCAGGUGUAGCGGUGAAAUGCAUAGAGAUCUGGAGGAAUACCGAUGGCGAAGGCAGCCAUCUGGCCUAAUACUGACACUGAGGUGCGAAAGCAUGGGGAGCAAACAGGAUUAGAUACCCCGGUAGUCC
Molecule: ribosomal RNA, 451 nt
Filed under: uncultured bacterium
Lineage: Bacteria
Description: bacterial SSU rRNA
Rfam family: Bacterial small subunit ribosomal RNA
Source: RNAcentral